Molecule: unclassified non-coding RNA, 375 nt
Filed under: soil metagenome
Description: partial contains 5.8S ribosomal RNA, internal transcribed spacer 2, and large subunit ribosomal RNA
Rfam family: 5.8S ribosomal RNA (bases 1-119)
Source: RNAcentral
GAUGAAGAACGUAGCGAAAUGCGAUAAGUAAUGUGAAUUGCAGAAUUCAGUGAAUCAUCGAAUCUUUGAACGCAUCUUGCGCUCCUUGGUAUUCUGAGGAGCAUGCCUGUUGAGUGUCAUUAAAUUCUCAACUACACUGACUUUGAAUUGGUGUGGCUUGGAUUUGGGGGGAAAAUUGUUGUGGGCUUUUUGUAUAGUCUGCUCCCCUGAAAUUGAUUAGCGGUACCUUUGUGGAACUGUCUACAGGUGUGAUAAUUAUCUACAUCUUAGACAUCUGCUGGAAUGCUGCUUUCUAAACCUUACUUGUAUUGACAAUCUUGACCUCAAAUCAGGUAGGACUACCCGCUGAACUUAAGCAUAUCAAUAAGCGGAGGA